This 535-nucleotide long non-coding RNA is filed under the name Capsella grandiflora. RNAcentral describes it as "long non-coding RNA (CGRA_LNC000042)". Lineage: Eukaryota; Viridiplantae; Streptophyta; Magnoliopsida; Brassicales; Brassicaceae. The record is from RNAcentral.
GUGUCCUGACUCGAUCCCUGACCCAAAGGCUGUUCAGUACGUGCGUAAUGACCGUGGCACUCCCAUGGUGCUAGACAACAAUUACUACCGUAACAUCCUAGACAACAAGGGUUUGCUCCUUGUCGACCAUCAGCUCGCACACGACAAAAGGACCAGACCAAUUGUUAAGAAGAUGGCUAAGGACCAGGCCUACUUCUUCAAGGAGUUCACUAGAGCGAUCCAGAUCUUAUCCGAGAACAACCCUUUGACCGGCUCUAAGGGUGAGAUUAGGAAGCAAUGUAAUCUCGCAAACAAGAACCACUAAAGUUGGAAAAAAGUGAGAAAAGACAGAGGCUCUGGUGUGUUGGGGUUCUCUGCUUGGUACGUAUCGAAACCAAGAUGAAUAAAGGAAUCUUUUAAAGUUAAAAUCAAAGAAAGGGUGAUGAUGAAUGCAUCAUGGUGGUGACCACUCCCUUCUUUUGUGUGUUCUUGUUGUAGCCUUAAUGCUUUAAUUAUGAUGUUAGUGGUCUUUGAGUUAUUUAAAUCUAAAAUGUUG